ACUCAAAGGAAUAGACGGGGGCUCACACAAGCGGUGGAGCAUGUGGCUCAAUUCGAAGCAACGCGAAGAACCUUAUCCUGGGCUUGACAUGUAUGGAUUAGCUCCUGGAAACAGGAGUAACGCGGUUUACCGUGGAACAUACACAGGUGCUGCAUGGCUGUCGUCAGCUCGUGCUGUGAAGUGUCGGGUUAAGUCCCUUAACGAGCGAAACCCCUAUCUCUAGUUGCUAACAGGUAAUGCUGAGGACUCUAGCGAGACUGCCGGUGUCAAACCGGAGGAAGGUGGGGAUGACGUCAAGUCCUCAUGGCCCUUAUGCCCAGGGCUGCACACGUGCUACAAUGGCAUCGACAAAGCGACGCAAGACCGCAAGGUGGAGCAAAUCGCAGAAACGAUGCCCCAGUUCAGAUUGGAGUCUGCAACUCGACUCCAUGAAGUUGGAAUCGCUAGUAAUCGGGGAUCAGCUACGCCCCGGUGAAUAUGUUCCUGAGCCUUGUACACACCGCCCGU
RNAcentral lists this ribosomal RNA (507 nucleotides) under uncultured bacterium. Its description in RNAcentral is "partial 16S ribosomal RNA". It matches the Rfam family "Bacterial small subunit ribosomal RNA", at positions 899 to 1397 of the family's 1533-position model. The record is from RNAcentral.